RNAcentral lists this ribosomal RNA (254 nucleotides) under uncultured bacterium. RNAcentral describes it as "partial 16S ribosomal RNA". It matches the Rfam family "Bacterial small subunit ribosomal RNA", at positions 524 to 776 of the family's 1533-position model. The record is from RNAcentral.
CACGUAGGGUGCAAGCGUUGUCCGGAAUCAUUGGGCGUAAAGAGCUCGUAGGCGGCUUAGUAAGUCGGGUGUGAAAACCCCAGGCUCAACCUGGGGACGCCACCCGAUACUGCUAUAGCUAGAGUCCAGUAGGGGAGUGUGGAAUUCCCAGUGUAGCGGUGAAAUGCGCAGAUAUUGGGAGGAACACCAGCGGCGAAGGCGGCACUCUGGGCCGAUAUUGACGCUGAGGAGCGAAAGCGUGGGGAGCGAACAGG